Callithrix jacchus (white-tufted-ear marmoset) is the source of this 101-nucleotide Y RNA. It matches the Rfam family "Y RNA". From Rfam's summary of the family: Y RNAs are components of the Ro ribonucleoprotein particle (Ro RNP), in association with Ro60 and La proteins. The Y RNAs and Ro60 and La proteins are well conserved, but the function of the Ro RNP is not known. NCBI's taxonomy places the organism in Eukaryota, Metazoa, Chordata, Mammalia, Primates, Cebidae. The record is from Ensembl.
GGCUUGUCCAAAGGUAGUGAGUUAUCCCAACUGAUUGUUCACAGUCAGUUACAGAUCGAACUCCUUCCCUGAUCCUCACGACUGCACUUGGCUAGUCUUAA